GACGAACGCUGGCGGCGUGCUUAACACAUGCAAGUCGAACGGAAAGGCCCUGCUUUUGUUGGGUGCUCGAGUGGCGAACGGGUGUGUAACACGUGAGUAACCUGCCCUUGACUUUGUGAUAACUUCAGGAAACUGGGGCUAAUACCGGAUAGGAGCUCCUGCUGCAUGGUGGGGGUUGGAAAGUUUCGGCGGUUGGGGAUGGACUCGCGGCUUAUCAGCUUGUUGGUGGGGUAGUGGCUUACCAAGGCUUUGACGGGUAGCCGGCCUGAGAGGGUGACCGGCCACAUGGGGACUGAGAUACGGCCCAGACUCCUACGGGAGGCAGCAGUGGGGAAUAGUGCACAAUGGGCGGAAGCCUGAUGCAGCAACGCCGCGUGCGGGAUGACGGCCUUCGGGUUGUAAACCGCUUUCGGCUGUGAAGAAGCGAGAGUGACGGUAAUGGGUAAAGAAGCACCGGCUAACUACGUG
This 468-nucleotide ribosomal RNA is filed under the name uncultured bacterium. Its description in RNAcentral is "partial 16S ribosomal RNA". It matches the Rfam family "Bacterial small subunit ribosomal RNA", at positions 28 to 507 of the family's 1533-position model. The record is from RNAcentral.